This 468-nucleotide ribosomal RNA is filed under the name uncultured bacterium. RNAcentral's name for it is "partial 16S ribosomal RNA". It matches the Rfam family "Bacterial small subunit ribosomal RNA", at positions 28 to 507 of the family's 1533-position model. The record is from RNAcentral.
GACGAACGCUGGCGGCGGGCUUAACACAUGCAAGUCGAACGGAAAGGCCCUGCUUUUGUGGGGUGCUCGAGUGGCGAACGGGGGAGUAACACGUGAGUAACCUGCCCUUGACUUUGGGAUAACUUCAGGAAACUGGGGCUAAUACCGGAUAGGAGCUCCUGCUGCAUGGUGGGGGUUGGAAAGUCUCGGCGGUUGGGGAUGGACGCGCGGCUUAUCAGCUAGUUGGUGGGGGAGUGGCUGACCAAGGCUUUGACGGGUAGGCGGCUUGAGAGGGUGACCGGCCACAAUAGGACUGCGAUACGCCCCAGAGUCGUACGGGAGGCAGCAGUGGGGAAUAUUGCCCAAUGGGCGGAAGCCUGAUGAAGCAACGCCGCGUGCGGGAUGACGGCCUUCGGGUUGUAAACCGCUUUCGCCUGUGACGAAGCGUGAGUGACGGUACUGGGUGAAGAAGCACCGGCUAACUACGUG